This 75-nucleotide transfer RNA is filed under the name Rattus norvegicus (Norway rat). It matches the Rfam family "tRNA". Rfam says of the family: Transfer RNA (tRNA) molecules are approximately 80 nucleotides in length. The record is from Rfam by way of RNAcentral. Lineage: Eukaryota; Metazoa; Chordata; Mammalia; Rodentia; Muridae.
UAAGUUAUGGCUUAGUGCCAGGAGAGUGCUUGCUUGGCAUGCAGAAGGCCUUGGGUUCAAUUCUCAAUAACACAA